This is a non-coding RNA of Danio rerio (zebrafish), 352 nucleotides long. The record is from Ensembl. NCBI's taxonomy places the organism in Eukaryota, Metazoa, Chordata, Actinopteri, Cypriniformes, Danionidae.
GAUGAUUCACAGUCUGUCAGCAUGCAUUGAUUUUAAUCAUUGCUAUAUGUUUUAGGACUUCCAUAUGUGUCCCGCGGACCUGCCUGUCCCUCUAACUGUGCUGUUUACGCUCCAGGAAUAAGACAGCUUCAGAUCCGAGUGCUCUGCCUCAUCUCAACUGCUCCCACAUUACUGUACAAGUAACUUUUAAAGGAUUUCCUUGAGCCAUCAGAUGCAGGUGCUCUCCCAAGAUCAAAAGAGACCCGAAGCCUGUCGUGAAGAUACAGCGACUCAAAGAGGAAACAGCAUCACUAAAGAGUGAAAACAGGAGAGGAACAAAAACAAAGGUCUGACUGUAAACCCCUGAAAACUU